Molecule: ribosomal RNA, 497 nt
Filed under: uncultured bacterium
Lineage: Bacteria
Description: partial 16S ribosomal RNA
Rfam family: Bacterial small subunit ribosomal RNA
Source: RNAcentral
GAUGAACGCUCGCGGCGUGCCUAAUACAUGCAAGUCGAGCGAACAGACGAGGAGCUUGCUCCUCUGACGUUAGCGGCGGACGGGUGAGUAACACGUGGAUAACCUACCUAUAAGACUGGGAUAACUUCGGGAAACCGGAGCUAAUACCGGAUAAUAUAUUGAACCGCAUGGUUCAAUAGUGAAAGACGGUUUUGCUGUCACUUAUUGAUGGAUCCGCGCCGCAUUAGCUAGUUGGUAAGGUAACGGCUUACCAAGGCAACGAUGCGUAGCCGACCUGAGAGGGUGAUCGGCCACACUGGAACUGAGACACGGUCCAGACUACUGCGGGAGGCAGCAGUAGGGAAUCUUCCGCAAUGGGCGAAAGCCUGCCGGAGCAACGCCGAGUGAGUGAUGAAGGUCUUCGGAUCGUAAAACUCUGUUAGUAGGGAAGAACAAAUGUGUAAGUAACUAUGCACGUCUCGACGGUACCUAAUCAGAAAGCCACGGCUAACUACGUG